RNAcentral lists this long non-coding RNA (225 nucleotides) under Elaeis guineensis (African oil palm). RNAcentral describes it as "long non-coding RNA (EGUI_LNC027576)". The record is from RNAcentral. Lineage: Eukaryota; Viridiplantae; Streptophyta; Magnoliopsida; Arecales; Arecaceae.
UACUAGAUACAUCUUCGAUAAUUAUACAGGCUAAGAAACUCAAAUAUCAUCUUUUUCACUAGCUUUUUUGGGUGACGCUCUUUAUUAUUGCACGUACAUCAUUGAUGUAAUAAAUAAGAGGAUUGUAGCUAAGCACAAAUAUUGGAUGGUUGGACUCUUUUGAUCCAAGCAAGGCUAGGGUAAUGAGGGCAUGUUUGGUUUUGGGAAGUUAGACUUUGAAGCGAG